RNAcentral lists this long non-coding RNA (378 nucleotides) under Spirodela polyrhiza (greater duckweed). RNAcentral's name for it is "long non-coding RNA (SPOL_LNC000640)". Lineage: Eukaryota; Viridiplantae; Streptophyta; Magnoliopsida; Alismatales; Araceae. The record is from RNAcentral.
UCCCAUGGGUUCACCUUUCACGUACGAUACCGAAGACCCAGCACCACCAGCGGCGGCGGCGGCGGCGGCGGCAAUCCUAAGGGGGCUUCCACCGCCGGGAAGAUACCGAGCUUCUCUGUGAAAUUUCAGGACCUGUACGGGUUCACGGUGGAGGGCAACGUCGACGACGUCAAUGUCCUGAACGAGGUGAGGGAGAGGGUGAGGGAGCAAGGAAGGGUGUGGUGGGCCUUGGAAGCGAGCAAAGGCGCCAACUGGUACCUGCAGCCGCAGAUUUCAUCGUUGACCCAAGGCAUCUCCGUGGGCUCCCUCAAGUUCUCCGUCCUGGCGAACACCAUCUCCCUGCGCAGACUCAUCAGGAAGGGCAUCCCGCCGGCGCUG